AAUCAAACCCGGAGAUAUCUCGUUCUCCCCGAAAUAGCUUUAGGGCUAGCGUCGCGCGUUCACCGCCGGAGGUAGAGCACCGGAUGGACGAGGGGGCUUCGCCGCCUACCGAAUCCAACCGAACUCCGAAUGCCGGCGGCCCAGAGCGCGGCAGUCAGAGCAUGUGGGCUAAGCUGUGUGCUCGAGAGGGAAACAGCCCGGACCGCCCGCUAAGGUCCCCAAGUUCCAGCCGAGUGGCAAAGGAUGUGCGUCCGCCCAGACAACCAGGAUGUUGGCUUAGAAGCAGCCAUCCAUUCAAAGAGUGCGUAACAGCUCACUGGUCGAGUGGACAUGCGCCGACAAUACACGGGGCUAAGCUGGACACCGAAGCGGCGGGAUUUUAAUUCAUUAGAAUCGGUAGGGGAGCUUCCCAUGGGCGGAGAAGCCGGAGGGCGACCGACGGUGGAGCGCAUGGGAGUGAGAAUGCUGGCAUGAGUAGCGAGAGACGAGAGAGUAACUCGUCCGCCGUGAACCCGAGGUUUCCUGGGCAAGGCUAAUCCUCCCAGGGUCAGUCGGGGGCUAAGGCGAGGCCGGUAGGCGUAGCCGACGCGCAGCAGGCAGACAUUCCUGCACCGCGCACGCGGCGCUACGACCGACGGGGCGACGGAUGGGGGUGGCUCGGCGGGGUUCUGGACGUCCCCGUGAAAGCGCGUAGGCCGCAGGGCAGGCAAAUCCGCCCUGCAGCGAGGCCGAGACGUUAGACGAAGCUUCAUGUGAAGCCGGCGAGCCCAUGCUUCCGAGAAAAACCUCUAAGGAGCGAGGCGGUGCCCGUACCAAAACCGACACAGGUAGGCGGGUAGAGCAUACCAAGGCGAUCGGGAGAACCAUGGUUAAGGAACUCGGCAUACUGACUCCGUAACUUCGGGAGAAGGAGUGCCCCCGCCUGUGAGGUCCCACGCGGACGGAGCGGGAGGGGGUCGCAGCGAAACGGCCCAAGCGACUGUUUACCAAAAACACAGGACUCUGCAAAGCCGCAAGGCGACGUAUAGGGUCUGACGCCUGCCCGGUGCUGGAAGGUUACGCGGAUGAGUUAGCGCAAGCGAAGCCCUGAAGCCAAGCCCCAGUAAACGGCGGCCGUAACUAUAACGGUCCUAAGGUAGCGAAAUUCCUUGUCGGGUAAGUUCCGACCUGCACGAAUGGCGUAACGACUUGGGCGCUGUCUCAACCAUGGACCCGGUGAAAUUGUAUUAUUCGUGAAGAUGCGAAUUACCUGCGGAAGGACGGAAAGACCCCGUGAACCUUUACUGCAGCUUGGCAUUGGCUGUUGGUGCGGUGCGUAGAGGAUAGGCAGGAGCCUGCGAACCGGGAACGCCAGUUCCCGGGGAGGCGCCCUUGGAAUACUGCCCUCACCGCAUCGGCAGCCUAACGCGCCGCCCUCAUCGGGGGCGCGGACCGUGCCAGGUGGGUAGUUUGACUGGGGCGGUCGCCUCCUAAACUGUAACGGAGGCGUGCGAAGGUUCGCUCAGGGCGGUUGGCAAUCGCCCGCAGAGCACAAGAGUACAAGCGAGCCUGACUGCGAGACCAACAAGUCGAGCAGAGACGAAAGUCGGUUCUAGUGAUCCGGCGGCCCAGCGUGGAAUGGCCGUCGCUCAACGGAUAAAAGGUACUCCGGGGAUAACAGGCUGAUCUUGCCCAAGAGUCCACAUCGACGGCAAGGUUUGGCACCUCGAUGUCGGCUCAUCGCAUCCUGGGGCUGUAGCAGGUCCCAAGGGUUGGGCUGUUCGCCCAUUAAAGCGGUACGCGAGCUGGGUUCAGAACGUCGUGAGACAGUUCGGUCCCUAUCCUCCGUGGGCGCAGGAGAAUCGAUGGAGGCUGCCCCCAGUACGAGAGGACCGGGGUGGACGCACCUCCGGUGAACCGGUUGUCGACCAACGGCACGGCCGGGUAGCCGCGUGCGGCGCGGAUAACCGCUGAAGGCAUCUAAGCGGGAAGCCGUUCCAGGGAUUAGUUCUCCUUCCGGUAAGGGCCCAGGUAGACUACCUGGUCGAUAGACGGCAGGUGCAAGGACGGCGACGUCCUCAGCCGAGCCGCACUAAUCGCCCGAGCUCUUCCGGA
RNAcentral lists this ribosomal RNA (2094 nucleotides) under human gut metagenome. RNAcentral describes it as "bacterial LSU rRNA". It matches the Rfam family "Bacterial large subunit ribosomal RNA", at positions 831 to 2925 of the family's 2925-position model. The record is from RNAcentral.